GCGUCUGUAGCUCAGGUGGAUAGAGCGGUGGUUUCCUAAACCAUGUGCCGGUGGUUCGAGUCCGCCCAGGCGCACCA
Molecule: transfer RNA, 77 nt
Filed under: Selenomonadales bacterium
Lineage: Bacteria; Bacillati; Bacillota; Negativicutes; Selenomonadales
Also listed under: 1 other name
Description: tRNA-Arg
Rfam family: tRNA
About the family: Transfer RNA (tRNA) molecules are approximately 80 nucleotides in length. Their secondary structure includes four short double-helical elements and three loops (D, anti-codon, and T loops).
Source: RNAcentral